AGAGCGAACGCUGGCGGCAGGCCUAAUACAUGCAAGUCGAACGGACCCUUCGGGGUUAGUGGCGGACGGGUGAGUAACACGUGGGAACGUGCCCUUUGGUUCGGAACAACUCAGGGAAACUUGAGCUAAUACCGAAUGUGCCCUUCGGGGGAAAGAUUUAUCGCCAUUGGAGCGGCCCGCGUCUGAUUAGCUAGUUGGUGAGGUAAAGGCUCACCAAGGCGACGAUCAGUAGCUGGUCUGAGAGGAUGAUCAGCCACACUGGAACUGAAACACGGUCCAGACUCCUACGGGAGGCAGCAGUGGGGAAUUUUGCGCAAUGGGGAAACCCUGACGCAGCAACGCCGCGUGGAGGAUGAAGUCCCGUUGGACGUAAACUCCUUUCGAUCGGGACGAUUAUGACGGUACGGAAGAGAACGCCCGGCUAACUCGCGCCAGCAGCCGC
Molecule: ribosomal RNA, 442 nt
Filed under: uncultured bacterium
Lineage: Bacteria
Description: SSU rRNA
Rfam family: Bacterial small subunit ribosomal RNA
Source: RNAcentral